GACGUAGGGGGCGAGCGUUAUCCGGAUUUACUGGGCGUAAAGGGCGCGUAGGCGGGACCGUUUGCCAUGCGUGAAAGGGGGAGGCUUAACCUCUCUAUGGGCGUGGAACGGCGGUCCUAGGGGCAAGCAGAGGAAGGUGGAAUUCCGGGUGGAGUGGUGAAAUGCGUAGAGAUCCGGAGGAACACCAGGGGCGAAGGCGGCCUUCUGGGCUUGACCCGACGCUGAGGCGCGAAAGCGUGGGGAGCGAACUGAAUUAGAUACUCAGGUAGUCCACGCCCUCAACGAUGGACACGAGGCGUGGGGGGUAUCGACCCCCUCCGUGCCGGCGCUAACGCAGGAAGUGUCCCGCCUGGGGAGUACGGCCGCAAGGCUAAA
Molecule: ribosomal RNA, 375 nt
Filed under: uncultured bacterium
Lineage: Bacteria
Description: bacterial SSU rRNA
Rfam family: Bacterial small subunit ribosomal RNA
Source: RNAcentral